CGUUGGAGGUGUAAAGGGUGAAGAAGAGACAAGUCCAAGCUACAUCCCAACGAUAUUCCCUUCAAUUUAUAAUAAACCUACAAUUAAUGAAGAAACUUCUUCUAACAGGCAUGCACGUUUCUUAAAGCGAAGAUUUGCUAAAAAUAAUAUAGCAGACUCAGGCGUGGUCACAAACACU
Molecule: long non-coding RNA, 178 nt
Filed under: Polistes fuscatus (common paper wasp)
Lineage: Eukaryota; Metazoa; Arthropoda; Insecta; Hymenoptera; Vespidae
Description: uncharacterized LOC122519031
Source: RNAcentral